RNAcentral lists this ribosomal RNA (253 nucleotides) under uncultured bacterium. Its description in RNAcentral is "partial 16S ribosomal RNA". It matches the Rfam family "Bacterial small subunit ribosomal RNA", at positions 524 to 776 of the family's 1533-position model. The record is from RNAcentral.
UACAGAGGUCCCGAGCGUUGUUCGGAUUCACUGGGCGUAAAGGGUGCGUAGGUGGUUGGGUAAGUUUGAUGUGAAAGCUCAGGGCUUAACCCUGAAAUGGCAUUGAAUACUACUUAACUGGAGGUUUGGAGGGGGACUGGAAUUCUUGGUGUAGCAGUGAAAUGCGUAGAUAUCAAGAGGAACACCUGUGGCGAAAGCGGCGCACUGGACCACACUGACGCUGAGGCGACGAAAGGCUAGGGGAGCAAACAGG